CACCGGCGCCCGCCCCCUGCCGACGGCCGCGGCUUCGCACGGCUCGUCGCUGGAGGAGCCCCGCGUGGAGCGGACCAAUCUGAGAUCCGCCUCUAGCACGUCCGACAUAGUGCGGGCGACUCGGCCCGGGCCGGGUCUCAGCUACGACGGCGACACCAUAGACCGGCUGCUGGCGCGGCCGCAGAAGAUACACAUCCCCGAGCGCUACGUCCCGGAGCUGGAGCUGGAGCCGAUGACGGCCGAAGAACGGCUUCAGAGAAGCCGGAAAGCGGCGUCCAUCAGGAAAAUGCUGACUCAAAGUACCGGGUUUCUGGAUAGCAUUUGCUCGGCUGAACCUCGUUCCAGACGUGUAAGCGCGGCCACCGAUAAACUGCAGAGGGCUCACAUCCUGCAGCUGAAUGAAGUCCUGGCUCGCCAGGUCACAGAACAAAGCAAACGCGUGGCAGCUGGCGCCCCGCCUGGCUGAAUACCUGUCGAGGCCUCCAACGCUGCCUGGUCAGUGGAAGCGAUUGCCAGCAUGGAAGCACCCCGCCCGAGCCGCAGCGGUAGCUCACCGCCCGCGCCGCCGCUGCCUCUGGUCCAGCAGCGGGACAGCUGCCUGACCUGAGGUCAACGACAGACAGCAGCGGAACGGCAGGUGUCAGGGAUUGAGAGGCGGGCGUGGCGAGAGGUGUGAACACCGCGAUCUGACGCCUGCCGUUGU
Molecule: long non-coding RNA, 703 nt
Organism: Pollicipes pollicipes
Lineage: Eukaryota; Metazoa; Arthropoda; Thecostraca; Pollicipedomorpha; Pollicipedidae
Exons: 6
Source: RefSeq, a predicted model, not a curated record